UUUUUUUUUUUUUUUGAGAUGGAGUCUCACUCUGUCACUCAGGUUGGAGUGCAGUGGCGUGAUCUCCACUUACUGCCACCUCUGCCUCCCAGGUUCAAGCGAUUCUCCUGCCUCAGCCUCCUGAGUAGCUGAGAUUACAGACACAUGCCACCACACCCGUCUAAAUUUUGUAUUUUUAGUACAGACAGGGUUUCACCAUAUUGGCCAGGCUGGUCUCGAACUCCUGACCUCAUGAUCCACCCACCUUGGCCUCCCAAAGUGUUAGGAUUAUAGGUGUGAACUACCAUGCCUGGCCCCUUUCUGAAUUCUUUUAUUGUUUACAGUAAGUUUUCAGUUGAUUUUUUUUUGGAUAUACAAUUAUAUCUGCAAAUGGAGAUAAUUUAACUUCCUCAUUUCUAAUCCUUUUGUCUUAGACUGAUUUUGUGGUGUAAUGGUCUUUGUACUCCUGGCCUUGCUGGUCUUUUCCUUCUUGUCUUUUUUCUAAGUCUGAAUUGGCAGCUUCCUUGGCCAUUCUCUGUGUUAUUCAAUAUACUUUCAUCAAAUUCUUUUUCACUUAAUGUCAGAACCGGUUUUCUGUUACCUUAUCUAAGAAGCCCAACUAAAAGUUGAUUUUGCACAAAUAGUGCAAAUAGUGCAAAUAAUGCCCAAUGAUGCAUUAUCAAUAGUGAUAUCUGUUGCCAUUUAUUGAGGGGCUAUUGAGGCAGUGUGCCAAGUCAUUCGUAUGUAUAAUAUCAAUCAAUUCCUAGAGAAUGUGCCCUUGGUUAUAGUAUCAAGUUUGAACUCAUUUUAGCUUCUUCAAAGAGACUGCUUUUUGUGUUAGUAGUAGCUCUAAAAUGUAAGGUAAUAGCCAGUUUAAUAUUUGUAUACUUUUGUUUGCUUUGACAUUAUAAAGUCAAUUUUUAUUAGGCUAACAGCUAUUCAGGUUUUCUUUAAUGCAGUGAUACCUUAUUCCCAAAGCAAAUGCUUGAAGCCCAGUAUGAAACACAUUUUAAAGGGAAGUUGCAAAGGUUAGGUAGAUAACAUAGAAGGAAGCUACUUAACCUAGAAUAUCGUGAUAUGUCUGAGCAUAGACAAAAAGGACAAAUUGUUUGGAUGAUGAAAUAUAGACAUUUCUGGACACAGAUCCUGGUGGCUCUUAUUGGUUGAAUUGUGUCCUCCAAAAAUAUAUGUUGAAGUUCCACCCCCUAUUACCUCAGAAGGUGACCUUAUUUGGAAAUAAGGUCUUUAGAGUGGUGAUCCAGUGAGGAAAUUGUCUGGACCGGGGGGAGAGGACAAAGACGACUAAGACGGCGCAUUUCCGGGUUCUUCAUCACCAACUUACCUGCGCAUGGGAAAAUGCAGCCCACGCCCAGAAAAAAUACAGACCGAUUGCGCAGGCGCAACAUGGAGUCCGAUCAAGGAAACUGAAACUUACCUGGCCGCACCUAUGGAACGCCCCCAACACGCCCGUGUCCCGCCUAUUGCCCUCCCACUCCCAAGCCUUAGACAGAAAAGCCGCUCCCGGCAGGCGUGCGGCGCGAACUUCCUCGGUCCCUCCUCAUAUGCGGACCUAGGAACGUCGACGGAGAACGCCAGAGCGACUUCCUCGGCCUCCACCACCGGAGACCGGUGAACCUCGCCCUUUCUUCCUCCACAUUGGCUAGCUAAUAAAGUUUCUUUUUACCUUGCCUACUUGCCUUUUCUCUGGCGCCUGCUCUAGCGGUCACAUAAAACAAAUCAGGUGGUGCCGAAACCCGGGAGGAGACCCC
This is a long non-coding RNA of Macaca fascicularis (crab-eating macaque), 1748 nucleotides long. NCBI's taxonomy places the organism in Eukaryota, Metazoa, Chordata, Mammalia, Primates, Cercopithecidae. The record is from Ensembl.